UAGGGAAUCUUCGGCAAUGGACGGAAGUCUGACCGAGCAACGCCGCGUGAGUGAAGAAGGUUUUCGGAUCGUAAAGCUCUGUUGUAAGAGAAGAACGAGUGUGAGAGUGGAAAGUUCACACUGUGACGGUAACUUACCAGAAAGGGACGGCUAACUACGUGCCAGCAGCCGCGGUAAUACGUAGGUCCCGAGCGUUAUCCGGAUUUAUUGGGCGUAAAGCGAGCGCAGGCGGUUAGAUAAGUCUGAAGUUAAAGGCUGUGGCUUAACCAUAGUACGCUUUGGAAACUGUUUAACUUGAGUGCAGAAGGGGAGAAUGGAAUUCCAUGUGUAGCGGUGAAAUGCGUAGAUAUAUGGAGGAACACCGGUGGCGAAAGCGGCUCUCUGGUCUGUAACUGACGCUGAGGCUCGAAAGCGUGGGGAGCAAACAGGAUUAGAUACCCUGGUAGUCCACGCCGUAAACGAUGAGUGCUAGGUGUUGGGUCCUUUCCGGGACUCAGUGUCGCAGCUAACGCAUUAAGCACUCCGCCUGGGGAGUACGANGCGCAAGGUUG
RNAcentral lists this ribosomal RNA (551 nucleotides) under uncultured bacterium. RNAcentral's name for it is "bacterial SSU rRNA". It matches the Rfam family "Bacterial small subunit ribosomal RNA", at positions 355 to 896 of the family's 1533-position model. The record is from RNAcentral.